GACGAACGCUGGCGGCGUGCUUAACACAUGCAAGUGGAGCGACGAACCGGGCUUCGGCCCGGGGCAGAGCCGCGAACGGGUGAGUAACACGUGGGUAACGUGCCCCGAUGACUGGGACAACCCGGGGAAACCCGGGCUAAUACCAGAUGUGCCCUUCCAUCAUCAGAUGGUCUGGGAAAGGUAGCUUCGGCUUCCGCAUCGGGAUCGGCCCGCGGCCCAUUAGCUUGUUGGUGGGGUAAUGGCCUACCAAGGCUGCGAUGGGUAGCUGGUCUGAGAGGACGAUCAGCCACACUGGGACUGAGACACGGCCCAGACUCCUACGGGAGGCAGCAGUGGGGAAUCUUGCGCAAUGCGCGAAAGCGUGACGCAGCAACGCCGCGUGAGGGAAGACGGCCUUCGGGUUGUAAACCUCUUUCAGUUGGGACGAAGCUUCGUCGGUGAAUAGCCGGCCGGAGUGACGGUACCUUCAGAAGAAGCCCCGGCUAACUACGUGCCAGCAGCCGCAGUAAAAC
This 512-nucleotide ribosomal RNA is filed under the name uncultured bacterium. RNAcentral's name for it is "bacterial SSU rRNA". It matches the Rfam family "Bacterial small subunit ribosomal RNA", at positions 28 to 526 of the family's 1533-position model. The record is from RNAcentral.